AGUACGCUAUGGCGGCAGGCCUAACACAUUUGCAAGUCGUACGAGUAAGGUUGCUCUUCCGGGAACUGGAGAGUGGCGCACGAGGUGAGUAUCGCGUGGGGGACCUACCUCUUAGUGGGGGAUGAUCGGUUGGAAACGACCGCUACAUACCGCAUACGCCCUUCGGGGGAAAGAUCUAUCGCUAAGAGAUGGACCCGCGUUGGAUUAGAUAGUUGGUGAGGUAACGGCUCACCAAGUGCUAGCGAUCCAUAGCUGGUUUGAGAGGAUGAUCAGUCCACACAUGGGACUGAGACACGGCCCAGACUCCUACGGGAGGCAGACAGUGGGGAAUAUGCGGACAAUGGGCAGCUAAUGCCUGAUCCAGGCCAUGCCCGCGUGAGUGAAGAAGCGCCUUCGUGGUUAGUAAAGCUCUUUCAGUAUGCGAAGCAUGAUGACGGUAACAUCAGAGAGUAAGCCCCGGCUAAUUUCGUGCCAGCAGCCGCGGUAAUACGAAAGGGGCAAGCGUACGUUCGGAUCUACUNGGGCGUAAAGUGGCACGCAGGGCGGGUCCGUGCCCAUGUUCAAGGGGGUUCGAAAAGGCUCCUGGGGGGGGCGUCCAAACCAUCCCCGGGGUAAAGACCCUGGCCCCCUUUCCAUUGAAAUUUACCCUUGGGCCAUUGGGGAAACCUUUAAGAAACGAAACGUCAGUGGAAAGAACGGGGGUUGAGUCGGCACAUUUCCAUGNUCGUAGAAGCGUGAAANUGCGCAUGAUAUUUGGGAGGGGAACACUCAUGAUGGCUGAUAGGGCCUGGUCCCACCCCCUGCGGAA
Molecule: ribosomal RNA, 808 nt
Filed under: alpha proteobacterium D0-PB-F01
Lineage: Bacteria; Pseudomonadati; Pseudomonadota; Alphaproteobacteria
Description: bacterial SSU rRNA
Rfam family: Bacterial small subunit ribosomal RNA (bases 2-506)
Source: RNAcentral